This 1590-nucleotide long non-coding RNA is filed under the name Homo sapiens (human). Its description in RNAcentral is "non-protein coding lnc-STX2-19:2". The record is from RNAcentral. Lineage: Eukaryota; Metazoa; Chordata; Mammalia; Primates; Hominidae.
AGUUCAACUCUGUCCCUGACACAGGACCCUGUGCUCAGACUGCCCAGCCCUGCCUCACACACGGUAGGUGCUCAUUAAUUGACUGUGGAGGGGUAGUGGCCUAGAGAGGAAUCUGGGUGUGGCCAGGUGGUCUCAGCAUCUCCAUCUCACCCUGGAGGGCUUCCUGCAGGAGGGUGCACUGGCCCCACAGAGAGCGCCUGUCCUAAGAAAAUAAUAGAAGGAGGGCUCUGCUUCCGGGCUCCAGCAAGUGCUUAGGAGCCUGAUCUGGGGCCACCUGCAGGUCUGUCCACACUGGAGAUGGCACAGCUCUGUGCCAGCCGCGCAGGGGACUGUGUGCUGAGCCAAGGGAGCCAGCACUUCUCUCUUGAAAAGCUGAGGCUGUAGGAAAAGGGGGGCUGCAGGCCAAAAGCCUCUGCGACACUCAGCACAUAGUGGGGAAGGGGGGCGUCCCUAGGGUACCAGGAGGGAGAACCAUGGCCCAGGAGUCACUGCCAACCCCAUCCGGCCCUACCUGGCUGUCCACCAGGCCCCUGGCUCUUCCCCAGACCCAAGCUGCCCUGGGCCAUUCUCCCAGGUCCCUGCCCCUGCCCUGGGCCAGGCCACCGUCCCUGAUCGCUGGGCCAACAGCAAGGGCCCUGCCUGUGCAGGUGCCAGAUGUGAUCCCAUCGCAUGGCAGGGCUGAAUUCAGCCACAACUCUUAGAAAGGAACAGAGAAGCCUGCACAGAACGCAGUGGGGACUGAGAUGCGGCAGCGAUCCUGCCACCCUGGAGGGAGGGAGGGAGGGCACUGCCAGAAUUCUCACUUCACACCUCUAUGUUCAUCCUGAGAUAGGAACGGAUCCCUUGUUUAUGGGGCAGACCCACACACCAUAUGUGGACUCUGUCCUAACGCCGGCACAGAGGGCAAACUGCUUGGUCAAAAUCGCCCUUAGAAAUCACCCCAAAACACAGUGCCCAAUGGUUCUGCAAAAUAUAUACAGAACAGACGCAAACAUAUUCAGGAUGCAGAACACAGACUGAAAUGAACAGCGGAUAAUAAAUGGCGUAUGUGUUAAAUCUAACUGGGCAUAUUCGAUUUGAACUAUUUCUCUCAUUUUGUCUUGCAAAAUGCAUAUCUUGGAAUUCCUAUAACUCACAUGUGGAUAUGGUGAGAAUCCAAAGUUGCUGAAUCAUGGAAUAGCCAGUCAGAGCCCAGGCUCCCUGAACAGCACUGGGCAGCCACCACCUCACAGGUGCAGAGUCUCACGUCAGCAGAACCAGAAAAUCAAUUACCCGCGCCACGGCUCCACAGUGAGGGCCGCUGUGAGCUGAGGGGCCUCUUGGGCCAGGCCCUGCUCUGAGCACCUUCCAGGCAGGACUCACUCAGCCCAGCACCCCAGGAGGUGAGCUGGCUGCUGCCCUCAUUUUAUGGAGGAAGAAACAGAGACAUUAAGGAACCUGUCGCAGGGAGCACAGGAGUGAGAGGGGAGUGGGGUGGGGCCUGUGUGAUUUUGAUUCCUGCUCUGAACUGGCCACACUUGUGUUCAGUCCCCCAUGAGGUCACCUGUGCCUGAUUCCUCUUGGUAGCCUCAGUGACACACAAUUCGUGAG